UGGGGAAUCUUGGACAAUGGGGGCAACCCUGAUCCAGCAAUGCCGCGUGUGGGAUGAAGGCCUUCGGGUUGUAAACCACUUUUGGCGGGGGCGAAAUAUCGAGUGCUAAUACCAUUCGGUGAUGACGGUACCCGCAGAAUAAGCACCGGCUAACUACGUGCCAGCAGCCGCGGUAAUACGUAGGGUGCAAGCGUUAAUCGGAAUUACUGGGCGUAAAGCGUGCGCAGGCGGUUAGGUAAGACAGGUGUGAAAUUCCCGGGCUCAACCUGGGAACUGCAUUUGUGACUGCCUGACUAGAGUGCGGCAGAGGGGAGUGGAAUUCCGCGUGUAGCAGUGAAAUGCGUAGAUAUGCGGAGGAACACCGAUGGCGAAGGCAACUCCCUGGGCCUGCACUGACGCUCAUGCACGAAAAGCGUGGGGAGCAAAACAGGAUUAGAUACCCUGGUAGUCCACGCCCUAAAACGAUGUCGACUAGUUGUUGGACGGGUUACUGUUCAGUAACGAAGCUAACGCGUGAAGUCGACCGCCUGGGGAGUAC
Molecule: ribosomal RNA, 538 nt
Filed under: uncultured bacterium
Lineage: Bacteria
Description: partial 16S ribosomal RNA
Rfam family: Bacterial small subunit ribosomal RNA
Source: RNAcentral